UCCCUGGUGGCUCAGAUGGUAAAGCGUCUGCCUGCAAUGCGGGAGACCCAGGUUCGAUCCCUGGGUUGAGAA
Molecule: transfer RNA, 72 nt
Filed under: Bos taurus (domestic cattle)
Lineage: Eukaryota; Metazoa; Chordata; Mammalia; Artiodactyla; Bovidae
Also listed under: 2 other names
Rfam family: tRNA
About the family: Transfer RNA (tRNA) molecules are approximately 80 nucleotides in length. Their secondary structure includes four short double-helical elements and three loops (D, anti-codon, and T loops). Further hydrogen bonds mediate the characteristic L-shaped molecular structure. tRNAs have two regions of fundamental functional importance: the anti-codon, which is responsible for specific mRNA codon recognition, and the 3' end, to which the tRNAs corresponding amino acid is attached (by aminoacyl-tRNA synthetases). tRNAs cope with the degeneracy of the genetic code in two manners: having more than one tRNA (with a specific anti-codon) for a particular amino acid; and 'wobble' base-pairing, i.e. permitting non-standard base-pairing at the 3rd anti-codon position.
Source: Rfam by way of RNAcentral